CCUACGGGAGGCAGCAGUGGGGAAUAUUGCACAAUGGGCGCGAGCCUGAUGCAGCAACGCCGCGUGAGGGACGACGGCCUUCGGGUUGUAAACCUCUUUUAGUAGGGAAGAAGCGAAAGUGACGGUACCUGCAGAAAAAGCACCGGCUAACUACGUGCCAGCAGCCGCGGUAAUACGUAGGGUGCAAGCGUUAUCCGGAAUUAUUGGGCGUAAAGAGCUCGUAGGCGGUUUGCCGCGUCUGCUGUGAAAACUGGAGGCUCAACCUCCAGCCUGCAGUGGGUACGGGCAGACUAGAGUGCGGUAGGGGAGAUUGGAAUUCCUGGUGUAGCGGUGGAAUGCGCAGAUAUCAGGAGGAACACCGAUGGCGAAGGCAGAUCUCUGGGCCGUAACUGACGCUGAGGAGCGAAAGCAUGGGGAGCGAACAGGAUUAGAUACCCUGGUAGUCCAUGCCGUAAACGUUGGGAACUAGAUGUAGGGACCAUUCCACGGUUUCUGUGUCGCAGCUAACGCAUUAAGUUCCCCGCCUGGGGAGUACGGCCGCAAGGCUAAAACUCAAAGGAAUUGACGGCNGAGAGNGCGACGACGACGACGAGGGAGAGG
Molecule: ribosomal RNA, 600 nt
Filed under: uncultured bacterium
Lineage: Bacteria
Description: bacterial SSU rRNA
Rfam family: Bacterial small subunit ribosomal RNA
Source: RNAcentral